Molecule: long non-coding RNA, 2229 nt
Organism: Homo sapiens (human)
Lineage: Eukaryota; Metazoa; Chordata; Mammalia; Primates; Hominidae
Product: long intergenic non-protein coding RNA 662
Source: Ensembl
GUAGUCCGGCCGCCCUGUGACUAACGGCUGGAACCGCCUAAGACACCACCCCAGCCAGCAUGGCCGGCAGGAGCGCACCGCGCUGUCUCCCUCCAGGGAUCCGCACCGCCCUACAAUCCUGCUUUGUGCUGAGAUUGUAGUCCUGCAGGCGUACAACUAACAAGCUGGGUGCAGAUAAGAGACUACAGCUCCCCGCAUCCCAAGCAAAGGUCCCUCCUCUACGGAGCCCCUCCACGCGUCCACUGCGGUUCCGCCGUGCCAAGGGGAGCUUGGCUGUUCACGGGCCUCACCUGCUAGCGAGAAGAUAGCUUGGCCGGGCGGCUGAUCUCACCUUGUAAUUCUGACACUGUGUCUCCCGGGCUUGUCGGCUUCAUGACUUGUGCCCAAAGUUUGAUUUCUCGCAGACCAGGAGGACCCAUUGGACCCCCGGGCUGGCUGCAGGGCCCACACCUGGGUUAGACCUCGCACAGGGACGCUGCUGCCACUGUAAUAAAGCGUGCCUACACGCUUCUGAAACUGGUGUAGGAACAACCUCAGUUCUGUGAAAGGCGGACGCAGCAGGACAGAAUCUCCGUGGACAUCUGUCUGGAGGAGCAAUUUUACUGCGACAUUUUAAAGAAACAAAUUUAAUUGAUUUCCAAGUUAUUUGAGACAGAGUCUCGCUCUGUCACCAGGCUGUACAGUGCCGUGGCCUGUCUCGGCUCACUGCAACCUCCACCUCCUGGGUUCAAGCGAUUCUUAUGCCUCAGCCUCCCAAGUAUCUGGGACUACAGGCAUGCGCCACCACGCCCAGCUGAUUUUUGUAUUUUUAGUAGAGACGGGGUUUCACCAUGUUGACCAGGAUGGUCUCAAUCUCUUGACCUCGUUAUCCGGCUGCCUCCUCCUCCCAAAGUGCUGGGAUUACAGGCGUGAGCCACCAUGCCUGGCCACAUCUACUUUUUUAAAUGUGUCAUUAUAUUUGUGAUAUUGUCAUGAUGUUUUCUACUUAUAUUUUAUUCAAAAAUUUUAUACUUUAAGUUCUUACCUUUAGGUCUUUGAUGCAUUUUUAUUUGUUUAUGGUGUAGGGUAAAUGUUCAACUUCAUCCUUUUGCUUGUGGAUAUCCAUUUUUUCCCAGCACCAAUUGUUAUAAAGACAGUCCUUUGCCCAUUGAACGGUCUUUGUAUCCCCAUCAAAAAUUAUUUGACCAUAUGCUGCUUUAUACUGUUCCAGUGUCCAUAUGUGUGUCUCUUUGCCAGUACCACACUAUUUUGGAACUUUGUAUUAAGCUUUGGAAUGAAUAAGUGUACAUUUUGUAACACUGGACUUCUUUUUCAAGAUAAUUUUGACUCAUUGGGGUCCCUUGAGAUUCCAUAUGAAAUUUAGGUAGGAUUUUUCUAUUUCUGCAAAAUAGAAUUUUUUGCUUUUUUUGUUACUCCCGACGUAUUUUAUUCUUUUCAGUGCUAUUGUAAAUGUGCUUGUUUGCUUAGUUUUGUUUUCUAAUUAUUCAUCAUUACUGUAUAGAAACACAAGUGAUAUUUGCAUGUUAAUUUUGUAUGCUGCUACUAUGCUGAAUUUAUUAGUUGUAAUACUUUUUGUGUGGAUCUGUGAAAUCUCUAGAGCUUUCCACAUAAAAUUAUAUUAUCUGUAGGCUAGAGUAAUUUUACCUCUACAUUUCCAAUUUGGAUAGUUUGUUUCUUUUUAAUUCUUAAUUUGACUAGAACUUCCAACACUAUGUGGAAUAGAAAUAGCAAAAGCAGACACCUUUGCCUUGUUCCUGAGCUUAGAGCAGAAGCUUUUUGUCUUUCACCCUGGAGUACAUUGUUUGAUGUGGUUUUUUAAUGUGUGGAUUUCACAAUGGUAGUAUUUUAGUUUUAAAAUUCCUACUUUUUUGAGUGUUUUCACCCUGAAAAGAUUUUGAAUUUCAUAAAAUACUUUUCUCUGCAUCCAUGAGGUGAUCAAUGUUUCUUUUAUUUUGUUAAUGUGUACACAUUGAUCAAUUUUUAUAUGUUAAAAAAUUCAUGUUUUAAGAUAUCCUUGCAUUCUAAGAAUAAAUUGCACUUGGUCGUGGUGAGAUCAUCUUUCUUUUUUUUUAAAUUUUAUUAUUAUUAUACUUUAAGUUAUAGGGUACAUGUGCACAAUGUGCAGGUUAGUUACAUAUGUAUACAUGUGCCAUGCUGGUGUGCUGCACCCAUUAAAUUGUCAUUUAGCAUUAGGUAUAUCUCCUAAAGCUAUCCCUCCCCGCUCCCCCC